This 253-nucleotide ribosomal RNA is filed under the name uncultured bacterium. Its description in RNAcentral is "partial 16S ribosomal RNA". It matches the Rfam family "Bacterial small subunit ribosomal RNA", at positions 524 to 776 of the family's 1533-position model. The record is from RNAcentral.
UACGUAGGGCGCAAGCGUUGUCCGGAAUUAUUGGGCGUAAAGAGCGUGUAGGCGGCCAGGUAGGUCCGUUGUGAAAACUCGAGGCUCAACCUCGAGACGUCGAUGGAAACCAUCUGGCUAGAGUCCGGAAGAGGAGAGUGGAAUUCCUGGUGUAGCGGUGAAAUGCGCAGAUAUCAGGAAGAACACCUAUGGCGAAGGCAGCUCUCUGGGACGGUACUGACGCUGAGACGCGAAAGCGUGGGGAGCGAACAGG